RNAcentral lists this transfer RNA (67 nucleotides) under Diplostomum spathaceum. Its description in RNAcentral is "tRNA-Trp". It matches the Rfam family "tRNA". From Rfam's summary of the family: Transfer RNA (tRNA) molecules are approximately 80 nucleotides in length. Their secondary structure includes four short double-helical elements and three loops (D, anti-codon, and T loops). Lineage: Eukaryota; Metazoa; Platyhelminthes; Trematoda; Diplostomida; Diplostomidae. The record is from RNAcentral.
AGCGGAAUAGGUUAAAGUUUGACUGUUUGUUUUCAAAACAAAAGGUGGUAUAUAUAUUCUUUCGCUG